Callithrix jacchus (white-tufted-ear marmoset) is the source of this 1639-nucleotide non-coding RNA. The record is from RefSeq and is a predicted model, not a curated record. NCBI's taxonomy places the organism in Eukaryota, Metazoa, Chordata, Mammalia, Primates, Cebidae.
GGUCCUGUUGAGGUCCUCCAGGACUGCGUCCUUGAAGACAUAGAGGACGAGGAGCCCCUGACCACCACGGCAGCCCCAAGUCUCUAAUGCCAGUAGGUUUGUGUACGCCCAUCUGACCCCAGCCACGUAGUGCCGAUGUUCCAUCUGAAGUGUGACUGGUGUUUCAAGUGCACGUGAGAACCCAAGAUCUUCCGAAAGCCCAGCGUUGGCUCAGAGGCUGUCGGGGAGUCAGUGCAGUGGGAUCCACCGUUUGAGCUCUGCAUCAAUUAUGGUUUCUUUCCUCUGGUCUUCUGCCAACAAGAUGUCAGCAGCUCUCUUUACUGUGGCCUCAGGAAAACAGCCCGGAUUCUGCAAUCACUGACUCACUGAUGAAAAAUCCAGAUGGAAAGAAAGGUGGGGCUUUCCUGCUGCCUGCAGUUUGGAGAUCUGCUUCCAGCUUCCUGCUGGGCACAAGGUGGGGCAGUGGAAGGAGCAGUUUUUGCAGGUGAAGAACCCGGGCCUCAUUGUACAGUCCCUGGAGGAGCCAUGUCCCUCCAGCCUCUUCCACCCAGGAGGAUGACCCAGCAGCAGCUGAGCCCAUUCGGAAAACCCGCCAUGCCCAUGCACGGCAGGGCUGCGUCCAUCUCAAGCAUCCACAGGCACCACUGCCAGUGCACUCCCAGCCAGCCCCUCUGUCCUUCUAGCCCCACUGAGAGGCUGCUGGGGGAAGAGUCCCACCUCACAGCAAGGAAGGAGUGCCUGUCUUUGUCCAAAAUAGGGGCGAUGCUUCAUUGAUUUAUUUUAUUCCAAAUUCAUUCAUGUAUGAAAAUAUGGCAAUAUACAUAACAUGUGAUACAUACUGUUUCCUGGCAAGAUAGGGUCAGUCACGAAUGGCAGCCUCAGCUUAUAAACAAACCGGGAGAGAGCCUGCCCUCAGCACCGGUUCUUCCUUCUUCUAGGACUAAGAAUUUUCCAAUUGCCAGCCGAAAUAGACUAGGGAGACCCACGCUCCAGGGAAAGCUCCUGCAUGGCCUACAGGUGUCCUCACCCUCCCUGCGGGGCUUUGACUGGGCUACAGUUUCCCCUCUGUUUUUCUAAAGCAACCUGUUCUGUAAUUAGGAUACAGAAGUGCCGGGAAGGGAAGAGUGUGGUCCCUUUAAAUGAUACAAAAUGGGAAGGGCAGGGCUGGGUAGAGGAGGGUGAGGUCCCUGGUAGGGCUCCACCCCCAUGGACCUAGGUGAGGACAAGCACUCCUGCCUUUGUGCAGAAAUGUUGCAUUUCCCAAGACCACCCUGGCCCACCACGUUGAGAGAAGCAUAUCAGUGGAGCAACACAGAGGUGGCUGAAUGUUGAGAGGGAUGCCCUGUCAGGUGCCAGCAUGCGGUCAGGCCACUGGCAGAAGCAGAAUGACGUGGAGUUUGGCCAGAGUGGUCGAAGAAGAGUCCCACCACUGGGGAAGGGUUGGGCCGCCAAUGUCCCCCCUCUAGGGGAAAGCCAUCUCCCUGCUUGCUUCCCGAUCUGCUGAGAGCUUCUCCCACUCAAUAAAACCUUGCACUCAUUCUCCAAGCCCACGUGUGAUCCGAUUCCUCCCCUACACCAAGGCAAGAAACCCUGGGAUUGAGAAAGCCCUCUGUCCUUGUGACAAGGUAGAGGGUCUAAU